Molecule: ribosomal RNA, 377 nt
Filed under: Clostridioides difficile
Lineage: Bacteria; Bacillati; Bacillota; Clostridia; Peptostreptococcales; Peptostreptococcaceae
Description: bacterial LSU rRNA
Rfam family: Bacterial large subunit ribosomal RNA
Source: RNAcentral
AACAGGCUUAUCUCCCCCAAGAGUCCACAUCGACGGGGAGGUUUGGCACCUCGAUGUCGGCUCAUCACAUCCUGGGGCUGUAGUAGGUCCCAAGGGUUGGGCUGUUCGCCCAUUAAAGUGGUACGCGAGCUGGGUUCAGAACGUCGUGGGACAGUUCGGUCCCUAUCCGUCGCAGGCGUAGGAAAUUUGAGAAGACCUGUCCUUAGUACGAGAGGACCGGGAUGGACGUACCUCUGGUGUACCAGUUGUUCUGCCAAGGGCAUGGCUGGGUAGCUAUGUACGGAAUGGAUAAGCGCUGAAAGCAUCUAAGCGCGAAGCCAACUUCAAGAUAAGAUUUCCCACCGCAAGGGUAAGACCCCAGAAAGACUAUCUGGUUG